This 320-nucleotide unclassified non-coding RNA is filed under the name plant metagenome. RNAcentral describes it as "partial contains 5.8S ribosomal RNA, internal transcribed spacer 2, and large subunit ribosomal RNA". The stretch from base 1 to 105 matches the Rfam family "5.8S ribosomal RNA", at positions 50 to 154 of the family's 154-position model. The record is from RNAcentral.
GAAAUGCGAUAAGUAAUGUGAAUUGCAGAAUUCAGUGAAUCAUUGAAUCUUUGAACACACAUUGCGCCCGCCAGUAUUCUGGCGGGCAUGCCUGUUCGAGCGUCAUUACAACCCUCAGGCCCCCGGGCCUGGCGUUGGGGAUCGGCGGAAGCCCCCUGCGGGCACAACGCCGUCCCCCAAAUACAGUGGCGGUCCCGCCGCAGCUUCCAUUGCGUAGUAGCUAACACCUCGCAACUGGAGAGCGGCGCGGCCACGCCGUAAAACACCCAACUUCUGAAUGUUGACCUCGAAUCAGGUAGGAAUACCCGCUGAACUUAAGC